RNAcentral lists this ribosomal RNA (253 nucleotides) under uncultured bacterium. RNAcentral's name for it is "partial 16S ribosomal RNA". It matches the Rfam family "Bacterial small subunit ribosomal RNA", at positions 524 to 776 of the family's 1533-position model. The record is from RNAcentral.
UACGAAGGGUGCAAGCGUUGUUCGGAUUUAUUGGGCGUAAAGAGCUCGUAGGCGGGAAUGAAAGUCAGGUGUGAAAUCCCGGGGCCUAACCCCGGAACUGCGCCUGAAACUCCAUUUCUAGAAUGUCGGAGAGGGAAGUGGAAUAUCGCAUGUAGGGGUAAAAUCCGUAGAGAUGCGAUGGAACACCAGAGGCGAAGGCGACUUCCUGGACGACUAUUGACGCUGAGGAGCGAAAGCGUGGGGAGCAAACAGG